GCCUGCGACAUUCGCUCCAACCCCAAUGUGACGUUACCAAUCUGUUGCCUCGGCGGGAUCUCUGCCCCGGGCGCGUCGCAGCCCCGGAUCCCAUGGCGCCCGCCGGAGGACCAACCAAACUCUUUUUCUCUCUCCGUCGCGGCUCCGUCGCGGCUCUGUUUUAUUUUUGCUCUGAGCCUUUCUCGGCGACCCUAGCGGGCGUCUCGAAAAUGAAUCAAAACUUUCAACAACGGAUCUCUUGGUUCUGGCAUCGAUGAAGAACGCAGCGAAAUGCGAUAAGUAAUGUGAAUUGCAGAAUUCAGUGAAUCAUCGAAUCAUUGAAAGCAUAUUGCGCCCGCCCUCUUUUCGGACGGAUUGGCUGGUCGUAACGAACAUUCAAACCUGCAAACACGACAGGAGGAUACUGUUAUACGUACUCCAGAACAUUUAAUAUCCCAAAAAGGCAUUUCAUAUGAUGUGGUAAAUUCAACUACUUUCGCUUGAUUUAUACAGCGGUGAUAAAGCAAGUUAGGAUUGUUUAUUAUAAAAAUUUUAAAAUAAAUUCUCAGUUUGGAGAUUGAAGGUAUGCCAUUAACCU
Molecule: ribosomal RNA, 577 nt
Filed under: Trichoderma saturnisporum
Lineage: Eukaryota; Fungi; Ascomycota; Sordariomycetes; Hypocreales; Hypocreaceae
Description: eukaryotic LSU rRNA
Rfam family: 5.8S ribosomal RNA (bases 219-373)
Source: RNAcentral